ACUAAUUACGUAUAUUCGAAGGCAUUGGACUGUAAUUAUCCCUUAAUCAAUCACUCAUGCCUGAAUUUUAAGUUAGGCAUGAGCAUUAUCCUUCUAAGUUACACGCCAAGCUUUUCUGUUGAGGUUAUCAAAGUUGGGCCUCAAUAUUAUCCUUCUAAGUUACACGCCAAGCUUUUCUGCUGAGGUUAUCUUCAACUUCUUGCAUUUGCCAUUUCUUUUCCGUCUCAUAUUUGCGGCAGUAAUAAGUUUAUAUUCUGAGUGGGGCAUCUCGCUAAGCUUACCAAACCGUUCCUCAUAAAAGUGCCA
RNAcentral lists this long non-coding RNA (306 nucleotides) under Solanum tuberosum (potato). Its description in RNAcentral is "long non-coding RNA (STUB_LNC002332)". The record is from RNAcentral. Lineage: Eukaryota; Viridiplantae; Streptophyta; Magnoliopsida; Solanales; Solanaceae.